CCCAGAGGUAUUGAUGGGUGUGAAAACAACACCGCUUCGGCAGUGAGAUCCCUGUUAUUACACCAACCCACGCAGAUGCGUGGGUUUUUUUU
Molecule: small RNA, 92 nt
Filed under: Pantoea eucalypti
Lineage: Bacteria; Pseudomonadati; Pseudomonadota; Gammaproteobacteria; Enterobacterales; Erwiniaceae
Also listed under: 1 other name
Description: OmrA-B family
Rfam family: OmrA-B family
Source: RNAcentral